Molecule: ribosomal RNA, 491 nt
Filed under: uncultured bacterium
Lineage: Bacteria
Description: partial 16S ribosomal RNA
Rfam family: Bacterial small subunit ribosomal RNA
Source: RNAcentral
AGUGAACGCUGGCGGUAGGCCUAACACAUGCAAGUCGAACGGCAGCACAGUAAGAGCUUGCUCUUACGGGUGGCGAGUGGCGGACGGGUGAGGAAUACAUCGGAAUCUACUUUUUCGUGGGGGAUAACGUAGGGAAACUUACGCUAAUACCGCAUACGACCUACGGGUGAAAGCAGGGGAUCUUCGGACCUUGCGCGAUUGAAUGAGCCGAUGUCGGAUUAGCUAGUUGGCGGGGUAAAGGCCCACCAAGGCGACGAUCCGUAGCUGGUCUGAGAGGAUGAUCAGCCAAACUGGAACUGAGACACGGUCCAGACUCCUACGGGAGGCAGCAGUGGGGAAUAUUGGACAAUGGGCGCAAGCCUGAUCCAGCCAUACCGCGUGGGUGAAGAAGGCCUUCGGGUUGUAAAGCCCUUUUGUUGGGAAAGAAAGCAGCAGGUUAAUACCCCGCUGUUCUGACGGUACCCAAAGAAUAAGCACCGGCUAACUUCGUG